AUUGAACGCUGGCGGCAGGCCUAACACAUGCAAGUCGAACGGUAACAGGAAGAGGCUUGCUUCUUUGCUGACGAGUGGCGGACGGGUGAGUAAUGUCUGGGAAACUGCCUGAUGGAGGGGGAUAACUACUGGAAACGGUAGCUAAUACCGCAUAACGUCGCAAGACCAAAAAGGGGGACCUUCGGGCCUCUUGCCAUCGGAUGUGCCCAGAUGGGAUUAGCUAGUAGGUGGGGUAACGGCUCACCUAGGCGACGAUCCCUAGCUGGUCUGAGAGGAUGACCAGCCACACUGGAACUGAGACACGGUCCAGACUCCUACGGGAGGCAGCAGUGGGGAAUAUUGCACAAAGGGCGCAAGCCUGAUGCAGCCAUGCCGCGUGUAUGAAGAAGGCCUUCGGGUUGUAAAGUACUUUCAGCGGGGAGGAAGGGAGUAAAGUUAAUACCUUUGCUCAUUGACGUUACCCGCAGAAGAAGCACCGGCUAACUCCGUG
Molecule: ribosomal RNA, 490 nt
Filed under: uncultured bacterium
Lineage: Bacteria
Description: partial 16S ribosomal RNA
Rfam family: Bacterial small subunit ribosomal RNA
Source: RNAcentral